CCUACGGGCGGCAGCAGUGAGGAAUAUUGGUCAAUGGGCGGGAGCCUGAACCAGCCAAGUCGCGUGAGGGAAGACGGUCCUAUGGAUUGUAAACCUCUUUAGGCGGGGAGCAAUGCCGGGCACGCGUGCCCGGAGGGAGAGUACCCGCAGAAUAAGCAUGGGCAAACCCCGUCCCAGCAGCCGCGGUAAUACGGAGGAUGCGAGCUUUAUCCGGAUUUAUGGGGUUUAAAGGGGCCGUAGGCGGAUUUUUAAGUCAGCGGUAAAAUGUCGGGGCUCAACCCGGGCGGGCCGUUGAAACUGGGUAUCUUGAGUGGGCGAGAAGUAUGCGGAAUGCGUGGUGUAGCGGUGAAAUGCAUAGAUAUCACGCAGAACUCCGAUUGCGAAGGCAGCAUACCGGCGCCCGACUGACGCUGAGGCACGAAAGCGUGGGGAUCGAACAGGAUUAGAUACCCGAGUAGUC
This 460-nucleotide ribosomal RNA is filed under the name uncultured bacterium. RNAcentral's name for it is "partial 16S ribosomal RNA". It matches the Rfam family "Bacterial small subunit ribosomal RNA", at positions 338 to 795 of the family's 1533-position model. The record is from RNAcentral.